CUGAAUCAGGGACGGUGGUCCCAACCCUG
RNAcentral lists this small nuclear RNA (29 nucleotides) under Arabidopsis thaliana (thale cress). RNAcentral's name for it is "snRNA_04297". The record is from RNAcentral. Lineage: Eukaryota; Viridiplantae; Streptophyta; Magnoliopsida; Brassicales; Brassicaceae.